RNAcentral lists this ribosomal RNA (181 nucleotides) under Carnobacterium maltaromaticum. Its description in RNAcentral is "partial 23S ribosomal RNA". It matches the Rfam family "Bacterial large subunit ribosomal RNA", at positions 1 to 181 of the family's 2925-position model. Lineage: Bacteria; Bacillati; Bacillota; Bacilli; Lactobacillales; Carnobacteriaceae. The record is from RNAcentral.
GGUUAAGUUAAUAAGGGCGCACGGUGGAUGCCUUGGCACUAAGAGCCGAUGAAGGACGGGACUAACUCCGAUAUGCUUUGGGGAGCUGUAAGUAAGCUUUGAUCCAAAGAUUUCCGAAUGGGGGAACCCAGCAUUUUUUAUAGAAUGUUACUGCUAGCUGAAUACAUAGGCUAGUAGAGGU